CCUACGGGAGGCAGCAGUGAGGAAUAUUGGUCAAUGGGCUUACGCCUGAACCAGCCAAGUCGCGUGAGGGAAGACUGCCCUAUGGGUUGUAAACCUCUUUUGUCAGGGAGCAAUUGGCGCUACGUGUAGCGUUAUCGAGAGUACCUGAAGAAAAAGCAUCGGCUAACUCCGUGCCAGCAGCCGCGGUAAUACGGAGGAUGCGAGCGUUAUCCGGAUUUAUUGGGUUUAAAGGGUGCGUAGGCGGAAUGCCAAGUCAGCUGUGAAAGUCCGCGGCUCAACCGUGGAAUUGCAGUUGAAACUGGAGGCCUUGAGUGCACACAGGGAUGCCGGAAUUCAUGGUGUAGCGGUGAAAUGCUUAGAUAUCAUGAAGAACUCCGAUCGCGAAGGCAAGUGUCCGGGGUGCAACUGACGCUGAGGCUCGAAAGUGCGGGUAUCAAACAGGAUUAGAUACCCCGGUAGUC
Molecule: ribosomal RNA, 461 nt
Filed under: uncultured bacterium
Lineage: Bacteria
Description: partial 16S ribosomal RNA
Rfam family: Bacterial small subunit ribosomal RNA
Source: RNAcentral